CCUACGGGCGGCAGCAGUGGGGAAUAUUGGACAAUGGGGGCAACCCCGAUCCAGCCAUGCCGCGUGUGUGAAGAAGGCCCUCGGGUUGUAAAGCACUUUCAGUGAGGAAGAACGCCUGGUGGUUAAUACCCAUCAGGAAAGACAUCACUCACAGAAGAAGCACCGGCUAACUCCGUGCCAGCAGCCGCGGUAAUACGGAGGGUGCGAGCGUUAAUCGGAAUUACUGGGCGUAAAGCGCGCGUAGGUGGCUUGAUAAGCCGGUUGUGAAAGCCCCGGGCUCAACCUGGGAACGGCAUCCGGAACUGUCAAGCUAGAGUGCAGGAGAGGAAGGUAGAAUUCCCGGUGUAGCGGUGAAAUGCGUAGAGAUCGGGAGGAAUACCAGUGGCGAAGGCGGCCUUCUGGACUGACACUGACACUGAGGUGCGAAAGCGUGGGUAGCAAACAGGAUUAGAUACCCUUGUAGUC
This 465-nucleotide ribosomal RNA is filed under the name Vreelandella stevensii. Its description in RNAcentral is "partial 16S ribosomal RNA". It matches the Rfam family "Bacterial small subunit ribosomal RNA", at positions 338 to 795 of the family's 1533-position model. The record is from RNAcentral. Lineage: Bacteria; Pseudomonadati; Pseudomonadota; Gammaproteobacteria; Oceanospirillales; Halomonadaceae.